Long non-coding RNA from Dicentrarchus labrax (European seabass), 1171 nucleotides. RefSeq lists it as uncharacterized. Lineage: Eukaryota; Metazoa; Chordata; Actinopteri; Moronidae. The transcript has 2 exons. The record is from RefSeq and is a predicted model, not a curated record.
AGGAUUCAUUGAUAGAAGUUUAUGGAGUUUUGAAUGUGAUAACGAUCAAAAUACACCCCUUUGCUCCCAAGGUACUGUGAGAAUCAAAGUCAUUAAACAACGUCUGAAUUGGGAAAAUGCCUAUGACUAUUGCAAAUCUCACCACACACGCCUGCUGUGGAUUCAGGAUUCGAAAGAUGAGGAGGCUGUCGGACAGUGGCUAAAUCACACUGAUGUUACUGGUCCAUUCUGGAUUGGUCUGAGGCAGAGUCGAGUUUUUGGAUUCUGGAUUUGGACGAGCGACAGGAUAGUGACCAACAACAACUGGGAGAACGGCACACAACCUGAGCUUCCCUUGUCGAACCACUGUGGUGUCAUCAAAAACAACUUCAAGUGGAGUGAUGAAAACUGUUUAUUUCAGCUACCUUUUCUUUGUGAGGAGGAAAUUGUAUACAUGAAUAAAUAGUUUAAAAGGUUCGUUGAUGGAUUAGCUUUAAAUGCAGAAUCAGUGUGGUGUCGAUGCCUGAUCAUGGAGAUGGAAGUCAACCACAUAACCCUUGGUAUUUUCCUUUACUGCUCAGAAUCCUAAUGGAUGUUUUUCUUUAAUUCAAUUGGUACAAAAUAAUCACACAUUUCAGAUUUUUUUUAAAUAUAUAUAUAUAUUUGGAAGUGUUUUUAUAUUAUUAUUAUAUUCUGAAGAUAAGUUAAUUAUAUGUUUGUACUUAAUUUAAAUGAUUCAUUGGUAUCAACAAAAGAGAAAACAAAAUGUGGUAGAAAUGAAUGAAUUUAUUUCAUGCUUGUAAUGACUGUAUUUUUCACUCGGGUCUUACUCUGUGUCACUUAAAACAAUCAAACAAGGUUUGUAUAUCUGUUUGUAAGCAACCCCACUUGGGCCCCUGUUUUAGCAGUAAUAAUAUAAAUAUAUAUUCUACUUUUGUAUUCACAUUUACAACUUUUAAACCAACUCCAAAUAUUUUAUACUCUAAGAUGUGCUUUGUAAGUCUAAGUUGUAAAUGUGGUAUGAUACAGUGUGGAGCAGCACAUACACAGAAGAUCUCAUAGAAGAUGUCAGUUAAUGUUUGCUGUAUGCCUUAUGUUUCACUUUCAUGAGUUUUUUUGUGUAACUUCUGGGUAAAUUCAUUUCUAGAUAAUUUAGUUGUUUGCAAUAAAAGACAAUACAUUUCAAAUCCAA